RNAcentral lists this unclassified non-coding RNA (345 nucleotides) under soil metagenome. Its description in RNAcentral is "partial contains 5.8S ribosomal RNA, internal transcribed spacer 2, and large subunit ribosomal RNA". The stretch from base 1 to 120 matches the Rfam family "5.8S ribosomal RNA", at positions 35 to 154 of the family's 154-position model. The record is from RNAcentral.
GAUGAAGAACGCAGCGAAAUGCGAUAAGUAAUGUGAAUUGCAGAAUUCAGUGAAUCAUCGAGUCUUUGAACGCACAUUGCGCCCCCUGGUAUUCCGGGGGGCAUGCCUGUCCGAGCGUCAUUGCUGCCCUCAAGCACGGCUUGUGUGUUGGGCCUCCGUCCUCCUCCCGGGGGACGGGCCCGAAAGGCAGCGGCGGCACCGCGUCCGGUCCUCGAGCGUAUGGGGCUUCGUCACCCGCUCUUGUAGGCCCGGCCGGCGCUUGCCGACACAUCAAUCUUUUCUCCAGGUUGACCUCGGAUCAGGUAGGGAUACCCGCUGAACUUAAGCAUAUCAAUAAGCGGAGGA